AGCCUGAUCCAGCCAUGCCGCGUGUGUGAAGAAGGUCUUCGGAUUGUAAAGCACUUUAAGUUGGGAGGAAGGGCAGUAAAUUAAUACUUUGCUGUUUUGACGUUACCGACAG
RNAcentral lists this ribosomal RNA (112 nucleotides) under uncultured bacterium KC204. RNAcentral describes it as "partial 16S rRNA". It matches the Rfam family "Bacterial small subunit ribosomal RNA", at positions 380 to 484 of the family's 1533-position model. The record is from RNAcentral. Lineage: Bacteria; Pseudomonadati; Pseudomonadota; Gammaproteobacteria.